GCGAGUCUUAAACGGGCGAUAAGUUCGUUGCGGUAGACCCGAAGCCGGUCGAUCUAUGCAUGUCCAGGGUGAAGCGCGGGUAACACCGCAUGGAGGCCCGAACCCAUGAAAGUUGAAAAUUUCUGGGAUGAGGUGUGCAUAGGGGUGAAAGGCUAAUCAAGGCCGGCGAUAGCUGGUUCUCUCCGAAAGAUAUUUAGGUAUCGCCUCGGAAUUUAAGCGUGUCGGGGGUAGAGCACUGACAAGGCUAGGGCACCUACCAGUGUACCAACCCUUAUCAAACUCCGAAUACCGACAAGGCAUGUCCGGGAGUCAGUUCGUGGGUGAUAAGAUUCACGAGCGAGAGGGAAAAAGCCCAGACCAUCAGCUAAGGUCCCAAAAUUUGUGCUCAGUGGAAAAGGAUGUGGAAAUUCCGAGACAACUAGGAGGUUGGCUUAGAAGCAGCAAUCCUUCAAAGAAAGCGUAAUAGCUCACUAGUCCAGAAAUUCCGCGCCGACGAUGUAACGGGGCA
Molecule: ribosomal RNA, 508 nt
Filed under: uncultured bacterium
Lineage: Bacteria
Description: bacterial LSU rRNA
Rfam family: Bacterial large subunit ribosomal RNA
Source: RNAcentral